RNAcentral lists this transfer RNA (74 nucleotides) under Capsicum annuum. It matches the Rfam family "tRNA". From Rfam's summary of the family: Transfer RNA (tRNA) molecules are approximately 80 nucleotides in length. Lineage: Eukaryota; Viridiplantae; Streptophyta; Magnoliopsida; Solanales; Solanaceae. The record is from Rfam by way of RNAcentral.
GUGGAUGUAGCCAAGUAGAUCAAGGCAAUGGAUUGUCAAGCCACCACGCGCAGGUUCAAUCCCGGUUGUUCGCC